GUGACUGCGUACCUUUUGUAUAAUGGGUCAGCGACUUAUAUUCUGUAGCAAGGUUAACCGAAUAGGGGAGCCGAAGGGAAACCGAGUCUUAACUGGGCGUUAAGUUGCAGGGUAUAGACCCGAAACCCGGUGAUCUAGCCAUGGGCAGGUUGAAGGUUGGGUAACACUAACUGGAGGACCGAACCGACUAAUGUUGAAAAAUUAGCGGAUGACUUGUGGCUGGGGGUGAAAGGCCAAUCAAACCGGGAGAUAGCUGGUUCUCCCCGAAAGCUAUUUAGGUAGCGCCUCGUGAAUUCAUCUCCGGGGGUAGAGCACUGUUUCGGCAAGGGGGUCAUCCCGACUUACCAACCCGAUGCAAACUGCGAAUACCGGAGAAUGUUAUCACGGGAGACACACGGCGGGUGCUAACGUCCGUCGUGAAGAGGGAAACAACCCAGACCGCCAGCUAAGGUCCCAAAGUCAUGGUUAAGUGGGAAACGAUGUGGGAAGGCCCAGACAGCCAGGAUGUUGGCUUAGAAGCAGCCAUCAUUUAAAGAAAGCGUAAUAGCUCACUGGUCGAGUCGGCCUGCGCGGAAGAUGUAACGGGGCUAAACCAUG
This 597-nucleotide ribosomal RNA is filed under the name Escherichia coli. RNAcentral's name for it is "partial 23S ribosomal RNA". It matches the Rfam family "Bacterial large subunit ribosomal RNA", at positions 593 to 1191 of the family's 2925-position model. The record is from RNAcentral. Lineage: Bacteria; Pseudomonadati; Pseudomonadota; Gammaproteobacteria; Enterobacterales; Enterobacteriaceae.